This 460-nucleotide ribosomal RNA is filed under the name uncultured bacterium. RNAcentral describes it as "partial 16S ribosomal RNA". It matches the Rfam family "Bacterial small subunit ribosomal RNA", at positions 338 to 795 of the family's 1533-position model. The record is from RNAcentral.
CCUACGGGGGGCAGCAGUGAGGAAUAUUGGUCAAUGGCCGGAAGGCUGAACCAGCCAUGCCGCGUGAAGGUCAGUGCCCUAUGGGCGUUAAACUUCUUUUGUGCGGGAGCAAUAAUGGUCACGUGUGGCCAGACGAGAGUACCGUACGAAUAAGCAUCGGCUAACUCCGUGCCAGCAGCCGCGGUAAUACGGGGGAUGCAAGCGUUAUCCGGAUUUAUUGGGUUUAAAGGGUGCGUAGGCUGUGAGGUAAGUCAGCGGUGAAAUGCCCCCGCUCAACGGGGUGAAGUGCCAUUGAUACUGCCUGGCUGGAAUGCGGAUGACGUGGGAGGAAUGUGUGGUGUAGCGGUGAAAUGCAUAGAUAUCACACAGAACACCGAUUGCGAAGGCAUCUCACGAAUCCGCGAUUGACGCUGAUGCACGAAAGCGUGGGUAUCAAACAGGAUUAGAUACCCUGGUAGUC